GGGCAGCGAAGCCGCGAGGUGGAGCAAAUCCCAGAAAACUGAUCUCAGUUCGGAUUGCAGGCUGCAACCCGCCUGCAUGAAGUCGGAAUCGCUAGUAAUCGCGGGUCAGCAUACCGCGGUGAAUACGUUCCCGGGCCUUGUACACACCGCCCGUCACACCACGAAAGUUGGUAACACCCGAAGCCGGUGGCCUAACCCUUAGGGGAGGGAGCUGUCGAAGGUGGGACUGAUGAUUGGGGUGAAGUCGUAACAAGGUACC
This 259-nucleotide ribosomal RNA is filed under the name uncultured bacterium. RNAcentral's name for it is "partial 16S ribosomal RNA". It matches the Rfam family "Bacterial small subunit ribosomal RNA", at positions 1244 to 1500 of the family's 1533-position model. The record is from RNAcentral.